UACGUAGGGCGCAAGCGUUAUCCGGAAUUAUUGGGCGUAAAGAGCUCGUAGGCGGUUUGUCGCGUCUGCCGUGAAAGUCCGGGGCUCAACUCCGGAUCUGCGGUUGGGUACGGGCAGACUAGAGUGAUGUAGGGGAGACUGGAAUUCCUGGAUGUAGCGGUGAAAUGCGCAGAUAUCAGGAGGAACACCGAUGGCGAAGGCAGGUCUCUGGGCAUUAACUGACGCUGAGGAGCGGAAAGCAUGGGGAGCGAACAGG
This 256-nucleotide ribosomal RNA is filed under the name uncultured bacterium. RNAcentral describes it as "partial 16S ribosomal RNA". It matches the Rfam family "Bacterial small subunit ribosomal RNA", at positions 524 to 776 of the family's 1533-position model. The record is from RNAcentral.